GCAAUUAUACCGUGAAACUGCGAAUGGCUCAUUAAAUCAGUUAUCGUUUAUUUGAUAGUACCUUACUACUUGGAUAACCGUGGUAAUUCUAGAGCUAAUACAUGCUGAAAACCCCAACUUCGGAAGGGGUGUAUUUAUUAGAUAAAAAACCAACGCCCUUCGGGGCUUCUUGGUGAUUCAUGAUAACUUCUCAGAUCGCAUGGCCUUGCGCCGGCGACGGUUCAUUCAAAUUUCUGCCCUAUCAACUUUCGAUGGUAAGGUAUUGGCUUACCAUGGUUUCAACGGGUAACGGGGAAUUAGGGUUCGAUUCCGGAGAGGGAGCCUGAGAAACGGCUACCACAUCCAAGGAAGGCAGCAGGCGCGCAAAUUACCCAAUCCCGACUCGGGGAGGUAGUGACAAUAAAUACUGAUACAGGGCUCUUUUGGGUCUUGUAAUUGGAAUGAGUACAAUUUAAACCUCUUAACGAGGAACAAUUGGAGGGCAAGUCUGGUGCCAGCAGCCGCGGUAAUUCCAGCUCCAAUAGCGUAUAUUAAAGUUGUUGCAGUUAAAAAGCUCGUAGUUGAACCUUUGGCCUGGCUGGUGGGUCCGCCUCACCGCGUGCACUCGUCCGGCCGGGCCUUCUCUUCUGGAGAACCUCAUGCCCUUCACUGGGUGGUGCUGGGGACCAGGACUUUUACUUUGAAAAAAUUAGAGUGUUCAAAGCAGGCCUUUGCUCGAAUACGUUAGCAUGGAAUAAUAGAAUAGGACGUGCGGUCCUAUUUUGUUGGUUUCUAGGACCGCCGUAAUGAUUAAUAGGGACAGUCGGGGGCAUCAGUAUUCAAUUGUCAGAGGUGAAAUUCUUGGAUUUAUUGAAGACUAACUACUGCGAAAGCAUUUGCCAAGGAUGUUUUCAUUAAUCAGUGAACGAAAGUUAGGGGAUCGAAGACGAUCAGAUACCGUCGUAGUCUUAACCAUAAACUAUGCCGACUAGGGAUCGGGCGGUGUUUCUAUAUUGACCCGCUCGGCACCUUACGAGAAAUCAAAGUG
This 1027-nucleotide ribosomal RNA is filed under the name Paramultiseptospora bambusae. Its description in RNAcentral is "SSU rRNA". It matches the Rfam family "Eukaryotic small subunit ribosomal RNA", at positions 69 to 1105 of the family's 1831-position model. The record is from RNAcentral. Lineage: Eukaryota; Fungi; Ascomycota; Dothideomycetes; Pleosporales; Parabambusicolaceae.